This 427-nucleotide ribosomal RNA is filed under the name Pseudomonas sp. RNAcentral's name for it is "partial 16S ribosomal RNA". It matches the Rfam family "Bacterial small subunit ribosomal RNA", at positions 355 to 774 of the family's 1533-position model. RNAcentral also lists the same sequence under 2 other names. Lineage: Bacteria; Pseudomonadati; Pseudomonadota; Gammaproteobacteria; Pseudomonadales; Pseudomonadaceae. The record is from RNAcentral.
UGGGGAAUUUUGGACAAUGGGCGCAAGCCUGAUCCAGCAAUGCCGCGUGCAGGAUGAAGGCCUUCGGGUUGUAAACUGCUUUUGUACGGAACGAAACGGUGAGCUCUAAUAAAGCUUGCUAAUGACGGUACCGUAAGAAUAAGCACCGGCUAACUACGUGCCAGCAGCCGCGGUAAUACGUAGGGUGCGAGCGUUAAUCGGAAUUACUGGGCGUAAAGCGUGCGCAGGCGGUUAUAUAAGACAGAUGUGAAAUCCCCGGGCUCAACCUGGGACCUGCAUUUGUGACUGUAUAGCUAGAGUACGGUAGAGGGGGAUGGAAUUCCGCGUGUAGCAGUGAAAUGCGUAGAUAUGCGGAGGAACACCGAUGGCGAAGGCAAUCCCCUGGACCUGUACUGACGCUCAUGCACGAAAGCGUGGGGAGCAAACA